GUAGGGAAUAUUGGGCAAUGGGCGAGAGCCUGACCCAGCCAUGCCGCGUGCAGGAAGAAGGCUUUCUGAGUCGUAAACUGCUUUUGAUAGGGAAGAAUAAGCACUACGUGUAGUGUGAUGACGGUACCUACAGAAUAAGCACCGGCUAACUCCGUGCCAGCAGCCGCGGUAAUACGGAGGGUGCGAGCGUUGUCCGGAUUUAUUGGGUUUAAAGGGUGCGUAGGCGGCCUGCUAAGUCCGGGGUGAAAGCCCGUUGCUCAACAACGGAACUGCCCUGGAUACUGGCAGGCUUGAGUACAGUGGAGGUUGGCGGAAUGGACCGAGUAGCGGUGAAAUGCAUAGAUACGGUCCAGAACCCCGAUUGCGAAGGCAGCUGACUACACUGGUACUGACGCUGAGGCACGACAGCGUGGGGAGCGAACAGGAUUAGAAACCCUUGUAGUCC
This 445-nucleotide ribosomal RNA is filed under the name uncultured bacterium. RNAcentral describes it as "bacterial SSU rRNA". It matches the Rfam family "Bacterial small subunit ribosomal RNA", at positions 354 to 796 of the family's 1533-position model. The record is from RNAcentral.